RNAcentral lists this non-coding RNA (90 nucleotides) under human gut metagenome. RNAcentral's name for it is "SAM riboswitch (S box leader)". It matches the Rfam family "SAM riboswitch aptamer (S box leader)". From Rfam's summary of the family: The SAM riboswitch is found upstream of a number of genes which code for proteins involved in methionine or cysteine biosynthesis in Gram-positive bacteria. The SAM riboswitch acts at the level of transcription termination control. The predicted structure consists of a complex stem-loop region followed by a single stem loop terminator region. The record is from RNAcentral.
CUUAUCAAGAGUGGUGGAGGGAACGGCCCUGUGAAACCCGGCAACCUGCGCAAGCAAGGUGCCAAAUCCGGCGGUGAAACGAGAGAUGAG